UAUAAGCAGUUACUACGCCACCUGGUGGAUGACUGGGCUCGGUUGCCGAAGAAGGUCGUGCCAAGCAGCGAUAUGCUUCGGGGAGGCGCAUGGAACCUUUGAUCCGAAGAUUGCCGAAUGGGACUUCCCAGACCUAAGUCUAAUCCUUCACAGGAUGGGGAACGCCCCGAAUUGAAACAUCUUAGUAGGGGCAGGAAAAGAAAUCAAAUGAGAUGGGGUAAGUAAAGGCGAUCGAACACCCCUUUACGGGCAAACCGAAUCCCGUAGCGAGAGUUGCGGGAAAUGUGGAUGGCCCGGUUACGUCCUAACUCUCAUAUCCGAAGUUCGUGUGGAACGCCGGUGCCAGAGAGGGUGACAGCCCCGUAGGAGAAAGAGAGCAGGACGAUUUCCGGGACCCAAGAGUAACGUGCGUUGGAUAUCGCGCGUGAAGACGGGAGGUACUAACUUCCA
RNAcentral lists this ribosomal RNA (450 nucleotides) under Candidatus Poseidoniia archaeon. RNAcentral's name for it is "partial 23S ribosomal RNA". It matches the Rfam family "Archaeal large subunit ribosomal RNA", at positions 1 to 455 of the family's 2987-position model. Lineage: Archaea; Methanobacteriati; Thermoplasmatota; Candidatus Poseidoniia. The record is from RNAcentral.